Molecule: transfer RNA, 71 nt
Filed under: Bos taurus (domestic cattle)
Lineage: Eukaryota; Metazoa; Chordata; Mammalia; Artiodactyla; Bovidae
Also listed under: 1 other name
Rfam family: tRNA
About the family: Transfer RNA (tRNA) molecules are approximately 80 nucleotides in length. Their secondary structure includes four short double-helical elements and three loops (D, anti-codon, and T loops).
Source: Rfam by way of RNAcentral
UCUCUUAUAGCUCAGUUGGAAAGAAUCUGCCUGCAAUGCAGGAGACCCAGGUUUGAUUCCUGGGUUGGGAA